UACGGGGGGGGCAAGCGUUGUUCGGAAUUACUGGGCGUAAAGGGCUCGUAGGUGGCCAACUAAGUCAGACGUGAAAUCCCUCAGCUUAACUGGGGAACUGCGUCUGAUACUGGAUGGCUUGAGAUUGGGAGAGGGAUGCGGAAUUCCAGGUGUAGCGGUGAAAUGCGUAGAUAUCAGGAGGAACACCGGUGGCGAAGGCGGUUCUCUGGGCAUUACCUGACGCUGAGGAGCGAAAGUGUGGGGAGCGAACAGG
This 253-nucleotide ribosomal RNA is filed under the name uncultured bacterium. RNAcentral describes it as "partial 16S ribosomal RNA". It matches the Rfam family "Bacterial small subunit ribosomal RNA", at positions 524 to 776 of the family's 1533-position model. The record is from RNAcentral.